AGCAUGUGUGAGAGGAAACCUGGGGAAGAACAAUGGACGUUGGUACUUCAGAGCACAGCAUCAGCUGCAGUCCUCAAGCAGGAGAGGAAAAGCCACCGUGGCAGAAGAUACACUGCAGCUAGGGUAACAGCAGCGAUGGACAGAGAGCUGCACUGGAGGAUGUCCUGAGAAAUGACUUUAAAUAAUGGUUAGAAGAUAUGCAAAAAGAAAUAAAGUGGAGCUUCAAUAAAAGAUCCAGUGUUGUACUGAACUUAACAUGGAAGAAACUUGAAGGUGGAUAAUCGAUGCAGUGAUAAAUACACAUCCAUU
Molecule: long non-coding RNA, 309 nt
Organism: Cygnus atratus (black swan)
Lineage: Eukaryota; Metazoa; Chordata; Aves; Anseriformes; Anatidae
Exons: 3
Source: RefSeq, a predicted model, not a curated record